GACGAACGCUGGCGGCGUGCUUAACACAUGCAAGUCGAACGGUGAACCUGCAUCGGUGGGGGAUCACUGGCGGACGGGUGCGUAACACGUGGGCAACCUGCCCUCACCUCUUGGAUAACUGCAAGAACUUGGGGAUACUACUGGAUAUAACCGAUGACCGCAUGGUCUGGUGGCGGGAGGAUUUAUCGGCUGGGGCUGGGCCCGCGGCCGAUCUCGGUGUUGGUGGGGUAGUGGCCUACGAAGGCGCAGGCGGGUAGCCGGCCUGGGAGGGUGACCGGCGACCAUGGGACUGAGAGACGGACCAGACGCGUACGGGAGGCAGCAGUGGGGAAUAUUGCGCAAUGGGCGAAAGCCUGACGCAGCGACGCCGCGUGGGGGAAGCCGGCUUUCGGGGUGUAAACCUCUUCCAGCAGGGACGAAGCGAAAGUGACGGUACCUGAAGAAGAAGCACCGGCUAACUACGUG
This 465-nucleotide ribosomal RNA is filed under the name uncultured bacterium. RNAcentral's name for it is "partial 16S ribosomal RNA". It matches the Rfam family "Bacterial small subunit ribosomal RNA", at positions 28 to 507 of the family's 1533-position model. The record is from RNAcentral.